GAUUAAGUUAUUAAGGGCGCACGGUGGAUGCCUUGGCACUAGAAGCCGAUGAAGGACGUUACUAACGACGAUAUGCUUUGGGGAGCUGUAAGUAAGCUUUGAUCCAGAGAUUUCCGAAUGGGGAAACCCAACAUGAGUUAUGUCAUGUUAUCGAUAUGUGAAUACAUAGCAUAUCAGAAGGCACACCCGGAGAACUGAAACAUCUUAGUACCCGGAGGAAGAGAAAGAAAAUUCGAUUCCCUUAGUAGCGGCGAGCGAAACGGGAAGAGCCCAAACCAGCAAGCUUGCUUGUUGGGGUUGUAGGACACUCUAUACGGAGUUACAAAGGACGAUAUUAGACGAAUCAUCUGGAAAGAUGAAUCAAAGAAGGUAAUAAUCCUGUAGUCGAAAAUAUUGUCUCUCUUGA
RNAcentral lists this ribosomal RNA (406 nucleotides) under Staphylococcus sp. 30401_3112M30942. Its description in RNAcentral is "partial 23S ribosomal RNA". It matches the Rfam family "Bacterial large subunit ribosomal RNA", at positions 1 to 400 of the family's 2925-position model. The record is from RNAcentral. Lineage: Bacteria; Bacillati; Bacillota; Bacilli; Caryophanales; Staphylococcaceae. RNAcentral also lists the same sequence under 1 other name.